RNAcentral lists this ribosomal RNA (253 nucleotides) under uncultured bacterium. RNAcentral's name for it is "partial 16S ribosomal RNA". It matches the Rfam family "Bacterial small subunit ribosomal RNA", at positions 524 to 776 of the family's 1533-position model. The record is from RNAcentral.
UACGAAGGGGGCUAGCGUUGCUCGGAAUGACUGGGCGUAAAGGGCGCGUAGGCGGAUGGCUUUGUCGGGCGUGAAAUUCCAGGGCUUAACCUUGGGGCUGCGUUCGAGACGGGUUGUCUUGAGUGGGGAAGAGGGUCGUGGAAUUCCCAGUGUAGAGGUGAAAUUCGUAGAUAUUGGGAAGAACACCGGUGGCGAAGGCGGCUCACUGGCUCAUUUCUGACGCUCAGGCGCGACAGCGUGGGGAUCAAACAGG